UACGAAGGGGGCUAGCGUUGCUCGGAAUUACUGGGCGUAAAGGGCUCGUAGGCGGCCAACUAAGUCAUACGUGAAAUCCCUCGGCUUAACCGGGGAACUGCGCCUGAUACUGGAUGGCUUGAGUUCGGGAGAGGGAUGCGGAAUUCCAGGUGUAGCGGUGAAAUGCGUAGAUAUCUGGAGGAACACCGGUGGCGAAGGCGGCAUCCUGGACCGAUACUGACGCUGAGGAGCGAAAGCCAGGGGAGCAAACGGG
This 253-nucleotide ribosomal RNA is filed under the name uncultured bacterium. RNAcentral's name for it is "partial 16S ribosomal RNA". It matches the Rfam family "Bacterial small subunit ribosomal RNA", at positions 524 to 776 of the family's 1533-position model. The record is from RNAcentral.